Molecule: ribosomal RNA, 1362 nt
Filed under: Pyricularia grisea W97-11
Lineage: Eukaryota; Fungi; Ascomycota; Sordariomycetes; Magnaporthales; Pyriculariaceae
Description: SSU rRNA
Rfam family: Eukaryotic small subunit ribosomal RNA
Source: RNAcentral
CCUGGUUGAUUCUGCCAGUAGUCAUAUGCUUGUCUUAAAGAUUAAGCCAUGCAUGUCUAAGUAUAAGCAAUUAUACAGCGAAACUGCGAAUGGCUCAUUAAAUCAGUUAUCGUUUAUUUGAUAGUACCUUACUACAUGGAUAACCGUGGUAAUUCUAGAGCUAAUACAUGCUAAAAACCCCGACUUCGGAAGGGGUGUAUUUAUUAGAUUAAAAACCAAUGCCCUUCGGGGCUCACUGGUGAUUCAUGAUAACUUCUCGAAUCGCACGGCCUUGCGCUGGCGAUGGUUCAUUCAAAUUUCUGCCCUAUCAACUUUCGACGGCUGGGUCUUGGCCAGCCGUGGUGACAACGGGUAACGGAGGGUUAGGGCUCGACCCCGGAGAAAACGCCUGAGAAACGGCGUUUACAUCCAAGGAAGGCAGCAGGCGCGCAAAUUACCCAAUGCCGACACGGCGAGGUAGUGACGAGAAAUACUGAUACAGGGCUCUUUUGGGUCUUGUAAUUGGAAUGAGUACAAUUUAAAUCUCUUAACGAGGAACAAUUGGAGGGCAAGUCUGGUGCCAGCAGCCGCGGUAAUUCCAGCUCCAAUAGCGUAUAUUAAAGUUGUUGCAGUUAAAAAGCUCGUAGUUGAACCUUGGGCCUGGCUGGCCGGUCCGCCUCACCGCGUGCACUGGUCCGGCCGGGCCUUUCCCUCUGGGGAACCGCAUGCCCUUCACUGGGCGUGCCGGGGAACCAGGACUUUUACUUUGAAAAAAUUAGAGUGUUCAAAGCAGGCCUAUGCUCGAAUACAUUAGCAUGGAAUAAUAGAAUAGGACGCGUGGUUCUAUUUUGUUGGUUUCUAGGACCGCCGUAAUGAUUAAUAGGGACAGUCGGGGGCAUCAGUAUUCAAUUGUCAGAGGUGAAAUUCUUGGAUUUAUUGAAGACUAACUACUGCGAAAGCAUUUGCCAAGGAUGUUUUCAUUAAUCAGGAACGAAAGUUAGGGGAUCGAAGACGAUCAGAUACCGUCGUAGUCUUAACCAUAAACUAUGCCGACUAGGGAUCGGACGGUGUUAUUUUUUGACCCGUUCGGCACCUUACACGAAAGUACAAGUUUCUGGGUUCUGGGGGGAGUAUGGUCGCAAGGCUGAAACUUAAAGAAAUUGACGGAAGGGCACCACCAGGGGUGGAGCCUGCGGCUUAAUUUGACUCAACACGGGGAAACUCACCAGGUCCAGACAUGAAAAGGAUUGACAGAUUGAGAGCUCUUUCUUGAUUUUAUGGGUGGUGGUGCAUGGCCGUUCUUAGUUGGUGGAGUGAUUUGUCUGCUUAAUUGCGAUAACGAACGAGACCUUAACCUGCUAAAUAGCCCGCGUCGCUUUGGCG